GACGAACGCUGGCGGCGUGCUUAACGCAUGCAAGUCGAACGGGAUCCGGGCUUUCGGGUUUGGUGAGAGUGGCGAACGGGUGAGUAACACGUGAGUAACCUGCCCCCUUCUUUGGGAUAACGUCGGGAAAUCGGCGCUAAUACUGGAUAUUCUUGCUGCAUCGCAUGGUGUGGUUUGGAAAGGGUUUCUGGUGGGGGAUGGGCUCGCGGCCUAUCAGCUUGUUGGUGGGGUGAUGGCCUACCAAGGCUUUGACGGGUAGCCGGCCUGAGAGGGUGUCCGGCCACACUGGGACUGAGACACGGCCCAGACUCCUACGGGAGGCAGCAGUGGGGAAUAUUGCACAAUGGGCGCAAGCCUGAUGCAGCGACGCCGCGUGAGGGAUGACGGCCUUCGGGUUGUAAACCUCUUUCAGUAUGGAACAAGGAUCCUUCUUGUGGGGGGUUUGAGGGUACGUGCAGAAGAAGCGCCGGCUAACUACGUG
RNAcentral lists this ribosomal RNA (481 nucleotides) under uncultured bacterium. RNAcentral describes it as "partial 16S ribosomal RNA". It matches the Rfam family "Bacterial small subunit ribosomal RNA", at positions 28 to 507 of the family's 1533-position model. The record is from RNAcentral.